This is a non-coding RNA of Nitrospirae bacterium CG1_02_44_142, 346 nucleotides long. Lineage: Bacteria; Pseudomonadati; Nitrospirota. The record is from Rfam.
GGGGGCGAAAGGGCUCGACGGGGGUUACGAGGCUUAGGCGGCAUGUCGUGGCUCCAUCACCACGUUAAAAGGUGGAAAAAAACACAAAAGCCAACAACGAACUGGCACUUGCUGCUUAAUUAAAGCGGCACGCUGCUCCGGGAUUGCCUGUGUUUUGGAUGCAGCGAAGGCAGCAGGCUGGUCUCAGGUCUUUCUCCUGAACCUGAGGCGAGAUAAAGGGAGAUGGGAUGAUACAGCAGCCCGUUUGUCGGCGGUUCAUCAUCCGAGAUUAAGUAGGCAGAACAAACAUGUAGAAACCUGAGAGUAGUGCUUUCGGACGCGGGUUCAAUUCCCGCCGCCUCCACCA